Molecule: long non-coding RNA, 3743 nt
Organism: Artibeus jamaicensis (Jamaican fruit-eating bat)
Lineage: Eukaryota; Metazoa; Chordata; Mammalia; Chiroptera; Phyllostomidae
Exons: 5
Source: RefSeq, a predicted model, not a curated record
UCCCAGGAGAGCGGACUGGACUCUGGGCGCCCAGCAGGGCUCGGCCCCCGGGCGACCUCGCUUUCUGCGGUGGAGAGCUGCGUGCGGGACCCCGCGAACCGGCCUGGCCGCCGAGGCCGCGAAAGGCCCAGGGCUCUGUGAAUUUGCUCGGGCCCAGAGCUCAGGUGGCGCGAAGGACGACGAGUGACGUGGGAACCCGCGUCCUCACUGCAAACGUGGUGCGUGGGGCCCACCCUCAGGGAGCAGAAGUUCUGGAGCAGGAUUUCAGGUUGGCCUCCUUCGAUUCCCCAUUGAUGAAUUGUGCCUUCUGAACCAUCCGGAACUGGGAUGAAUCCAGCCAUUGCUCCUCCUGGGGAACCCAUCCCACAGUCACAGGGUACAUCACCCAUGUACUGUGAAGGUCUCUGCAGAUGCCGACACCCCGUGAAAAAAAAGAAUGAAGCUUUGGAAUACUCACACAGCAACAGCAAAAGACCGAGGAAUAUCAGGCCAAUGGCAGCGGGCCCCAGUCUCCAAGAUGACUCAUCUUCUUCAUACCUGGGCUUAGGGGUUGGGGCUGCACAGACGUCUCUGUUGUUGCACUGACAGACCUCCAGAGUCAGACUCUCUGGAGUCUCACACUGCCUGUUGUCUCUGUCUGAAAUUAUGAGGGACACACUGUGCACUCCAGGGGAUACCUGCUGCUGGGCCUUUAGGAGUGCAGAGGUAGCUGUAGAGAAACAAUUGUACAAAUCAACAGUAGGAUAAGGCACCCUUUGCUCUUAAAAUGACUUAUUUUUCUUAACAGAACCAGAGUUGCCAUAGACAUCACUGUCACAAACAGUAAAGCUAGUAGGGUGAGAUUUGAGCAGUUAUGAGGGCUUUAAGAGAUUUAGCUGGGGAAAUCAGGCCGUAUUUCCUCCUUGUCCCAGAUGGGCCCAUUAUUCUCACUCAUGAAGACUCAGUCCUACCUUGAAUUUCCCCACUAAGUGGGGAGGCAGGGGGUGGAAUCGGGGCGGACGUCAUUUUAAUCCCAGAUGUUUCUUUCCUAGGGCUUAUCUACUCUCCUGUAUGUCUGUCCCAAAUCCUUGGCCCUUGUGUGGCCCUCUGAGUGUAUCUCUUCUGUUUAACUCCAUAUUUUUGUGCCUGACUUAGUAAAAACUGAAUUUCUGCUUUGGCUGAUGCUACCUCCUCUGCUCCUGUCAGUCCUGACGCCUCGAACCUGACUGGUUGUACUGCGUAACCUGUGGUGCAGGCCUGUGGUCUCUCCUACUCACGGAGUUGAUUGCUCUCCAUUCUCCAUCGCUGUGUUGUCCCUUUCUGAGUGGGCUCGAGCAACAGCUCUUGGUGGCUGCAGGGCUGUGUUGCUUGAAUUAGUCUUAUUUAGAUAGUCAACUUAACAUUUCAUAUUGAUUUGUAUUAGUUUUGGGGGUACAGCCUAGUGUUGAAUCAGUCUGGACUCCACCAAGCCCUUUGCUAUUACGCCUGAUCCACCUGGUCCCACCACAGUUGCCUGGCUCAGCCUCACCUGAGCAGGUGUGUCUAGUACAAGGUCCUGUCUCUCUCUGAUAUUUCUUUUGCAGCCUUUUCAUUGGCUAUGUGUCUGGUAAAACCUUGAGCUAAAUGCUACAUGCAUAAUUUGGAGCUAAAACCUUACACCAGGAUUAGUAAGGCCCCAGGAAGGAAGACCAUGGAGAACAAGAUCCCUUUGGUGGCACUAGCAGGGACUGAUACCUGUGGCUAGGACACCACAGAGCACAUUUAUAAAAACAAGCAAGAUUGGUUCAGAGAAGAGUUAGAAAAAAGUGAGUUCAUUUACAAGGGAUUUGAAGUGGCCUGAUGGCCACCAUAAAAUUUAGAAAGGGAGGAGACUCUUAUUAAAUCUAAUGGCUAUUUCUCUGAGACUCCUGGAAAAGACAAGAAAUGUGAAAUUAGCAUGAUAAAGGCUAAGAGAACAGGGAAGGUGGAUUAGCUCUUUCCCACUGCCUGAUGGGUUUACAGAGUUCUGUUCCCAUUUGUGCUAAAGAUUCCUGACUAGGGACACACUAAGUAGCAUUUCCUGUGAGCUUUGAACAGGCAGACACUUCUCUUGUGCUUUCUGUCUCUUCACAGCCUGCCCAGUAAGAAAAGUUUAUGUAUUUAUAAAUCUAAAGAGCUCUGAAAUAAAAAUAGAUGCCUGACUUUAAUGUUAUUUCGGUGUGCUCUGGAGAUAGAAAUAACAUAUAAAAAACAAUUUGGAGUCCACAUGAAAAACAACAUAUUAAAUCGUGCUAAUGUUAUAUCAUAUCAUUUCUUUCCUCUUGUGAAAAGAGAAGGAAUUCAUGAGGCUAGGAGCAUGUCUUCACUGCAGAGAAUUGUUUCAAUUGCUCUUGGAAAGAACUUGCUCCCACAUGAGCCCUUAUUCUUCCGAAGCUACAAAGAAGCAGUGACUUUCAUUUAUGGAUGGGACUUUAUUACUCACCAUUAAGAGUUGUGAUGCUCCAAACAGUUGGCAAUUUCUGAGGCUGAUCCUCCAGUGAAAACGUGUAGGGGCCGGAAUAUUUACUACUGUCCGCUACGUGAGCCGAGACAAUCACAGAAGGCGAUGAGCUGCAAAUUGUUUCCUUUUCGAGGACAAUUGUUGGACAAUUUUCAUUAAAAUCAGAUGAAAAAAGUCCUCAAAGGAAAAUGUUUUCCUGAUGUGGAAGAGGGGAAACAAAAACUUGCAGAAGCACCAAAAAGACAUCAAAAUCGACAAGUUCAAAACUGUUUGGAGCAGUGGAAAAAACAUCUUGACAGGUGUAUUACAUCAAAUGGAGAGUGCUUUGAAGACUUUACAAGAAGGAUUCAGCAAUCAAAUAUGAUGCUCUCUCUCAGAAAGGAAAUAGAAAGGAAAGCUUGUGAUUAUUGGAAGAAAAAGUAGGACUUACCAUGAAAAUGGCCAGAGCCCCUGUGGCUCUGAGAAGCAGUGAAGUCAUCGUCUCUGUCUCCCGCUGAGCAAAUCCCCAGGAGCUGCUGCCUCCGUCCUUCCACCCUCCGCACAGGUCUCUGCUGUCUUCUCGAGUCUACAGAUGGCCUGUUAUGCGGUUCCUCCCCACCCUAACCCAAGGAUUGGUCUCACCAGCAACGCUUGAAUCACUUUUGCUUCCAGGUAAAAACUUAGACACACCUCAAUUCCUAAAGCAAUGAAAUCCUUUGUUGGAAGCUGAAGGAGUUCACAGGCUAAAGACCAUGUUUAAUGGGAAGGUACCAGAUGAAUAAUAAACGAAUCAUGGUGUGGCUGUGUACAAGCUAGUCCUGACUACACUGAACAAGAAUCCACUUGGCUUCUUCUCAGGGUUUCAAUUAAAACUGAAAAGCAGAACAAAACACAAAAAUUCCCCAAAACCUAACUGGUGGAAGGGCAUUUAUUUCUGGCCUGUCUGUAUGUGGGUAGAUCUAAAGUGAAGCAAAAGGUAGGUGUUAAGUAAUAAUAUAUUUUAUUGAAAAUAACUACAAAUCUGAAGAAAAAACCCACCACAUCAAGCAGCUAUUAAUGCAGGUUUUAAAUGAAAAUAAUUAGAAAUACAAUUGGAGUAAAAAGUGAUAUGAUUGGAGCCCUGGCUGGUCUAGCUCAGUGGAUUGAGCAAGGACCUGUGAAGCAAAGGGUCACUGGUUCGAUUCCCAGUCAGGGCACAUGCCUGGGUUGCAAGCCAGGUCACCAGAAGGGGACACAUGAGAGGCAAUUACACAUUGAUGUUUCUCUCCCACUCUUUCUCCUUCCCUUCCCCUCUCUCUAAGAAAUA